Molecule: small nuclear RNA, 105 nt
Organism: Hemiscyllium ocellatum (epaulette shark)
Lineage: Eukaryota; Metazoa; Chordata; Chondrichthyes; Orectolobiformes; Hemiscylliidae
Source: RefSeq, a predicted model, not a curated record
AUUCACUUCAGCAGGACAUAUAGUAAAAUUGGAGCGAUACAGAGAUGAUUAGCAUGGCCCCUGCACAAGGAUGGCACACAAAUUUGUGAAGUAUUCCAUACUUUA